RNAcentral lists this ribosomal RNA (314 nucleotides) under uncultured Pseudomonadota bacterium. RNAcentral's name for it is "bacterial SSU rRNA". It matches the Rfam family "Bacterial small subunit ribosomal RNA", at positions 28 to 351 of the family's 1533-position model. Lineage: Bacteria; Pseudomonadati; Pseudomonadota. The record is from RNAcentral.
GAUAAACGCUGGCGGUGUGCUUUAUGCAUGCAAGUCGAACGGGUUCCGCAAGGAACCAGUGGCAGACGGGUGAGCAACACGUAAGCGACCUGCCCUAAAGUGGGGAACAACUCCUAGAAAUGGGAGCUAAUACCGCAUGUGAUCUUACUUUUAAACUUGUAAGAUUAAAGCCGUAAGGCGCUUUUGGAGGGGCUUGCGUCCGAUUAGAUAGUUGGUGGGGUAACGGCCUACCAAGUCGACGAUCGGUAGCUGGUUUGAGAGGACGACCAGCCACACGGGGACUGAGACACGGCCCCGACUCCUACGGGUGGCAG